RNAcentral lists this ribosomal RNA (925 nucleotides) under uncultured bacterium. RNAcentral describes it as "bacterial SSU rRNA". It matches the Rfam family "Bacterial small subunit ribosomal RNA", at positions 8 to 916 of the family's 1533-position model. The record is from RNAcentral.
AGAGUUGAUCCUGGCUCAGGAUGAACGCUGGCGGCGUGCCUAUACAUGCAAGUCGAGCGAACAGAUGAGGAGCUUGCUCCUUUGACGUUAGCGGCGGACGGGUGAGUAACACGUGGGUAACCUACCUAUAAGACUGGGAUAACUUCGGGAAACCGGAGCUAAUACCGGAUAAUAUUUCGAACCGCAUGGUUCGAUAGUGAAAGAUGGCUCUGCUAUCACUUAUAGAUGGACCUGCGCCGUAUUAGCUAGUUGGUAAGGUAACGGCUUACCAAGGCAACGAUACGUAGCCGACCUGAGAGGGUGAUCGGCCACACUGGAACUGAGACACGGUCCAGACUCCUACGGGAGGCAGCAGUAGGGAAUCUUCCGCAAUGGGCGAAAGCCUGACGGAGCAACGCCGCGUGAGUGAUGAAGGUCUUCGGAUCGUAAAACUCUGUUAUUAGGGAAGAACAAACGUGUAAGUAACUGUGCACGUCUUGACGGUACCUAAUCAGAAAGCCACGGCUAACUACGUGCCAGCAGCCGCGGUAAUACGUAGGUGGCAAGCGUUAUCCGGAAUUAUUGGGCGUAAAGCGCGCGUAGGCGGUUUUUUAAGUCUGAUGUGAAAGCCCACGGCUCAACCGUGGAGGGUCAUUGGAAACUGGAAAACUUGAGUGCAGAAGAGGAAAGUGGAAUUCCAUGUGUAGCGGUGAAAUGCGCAGAGAUAUGGAGGAACACCAGUGGCGAAGGCGACUUUCUGGUCUGUAACUGACGCUGAUGCGCGAAAGCGUGGGGGUCAAACAGGAUUAGAUACCCUGGUAGUCCACGCCGUAAACGAUGAGUGCUAAGUGUUAGGGGGUUUCCGCCCCUUAGUGCUGCAGCUAACGCAUUAAGCACUCCGCCUGGGGAGUACGACCGCAAGGUUGAAACUCAAAGGAAUUGACGG